GCAUUGGUGGUUGAGUGGUAGAAUUUACGCCUGCCACGCGGGAGGCCCGGAUUCGAAUCCCGGCCAAUGCA
Molecule: transfer RNA, 71 nt
Filed under: Saccoglossus kowalevskii
Lineage: Eukaryota; Metazoa; Hemichordata; Enteropneusta; Harrimaniidae
Description: tRNA-Gly
Rfam family: tRNA
About the family: Transfer RNA (tRNA) molecules are approximately 80 nucleotides in length.
Source: RNAcentral